Triticum aestivum (bread wheat) is the source of this 2526-nucleotide long non-coding RNA. RefSeq lists it as uncharacterized. The record is from RefSeq and is a predicted model, not a curated record. The transcript has 13 exons. Lineage: Eukaryota; Viridiplantae; Streptophyta; Magnoliopsida; Poales; Poaceae.
ACUGCCAAGGAAUGUUCAUGGCUAACAGCAUAACAGCCGCGAUGCAGAGCGCACAUCGCCCGCCUCGCCGCCGGCGCUCACGCAUGUCGCCCACCUCGCCACAGCACCCGCACAUGUCGCCCACCUCGCCGCUGCCUCUGUGCAAUGCUUCUGUCACAACACCCAUCUUUUGCCGAUAAUAUGGUCACCGCCGCCUCGCCAUGACCGCCAUGGAAACAGGACCGCCGGUCCUCUCGGUCCGGCCCGGGCUUCACCACCGCCGGUCCGGUCCCUGAAAACAGGCCCGCCACGCUGCUCGGUCCGGUCCGGUCCGGACCGCCGGUGGCCGGUCCAAACGGCGGCUCGGACCGGGACCGGACCGGCUCGGACCGUGUCCACCCUGACUCGCCGGGACGACGACGCGACCUCGCCGACGACGCGGCCGUAUUCAAGGCGGAGAUGCCGUCGUCGAGGUACCUUGACGCGGCCGUCUCGUCCUCACCUCGCCGAUCGAGUGGAGAUGCCUGGCUGCUCCGUCUCGCCGUCGGCAAGGACAGGGUAGGCUCCAUCCGUGCUUUGUCCACAACCACGCCAUGGAGAUGGAGGUCAGCAGCCUGCCGCCAUGACCAUGUUAUGUUGGUUUCGAUUUGGCCCGAUGCGCCAUGCACCACCUCCGGGUCCGACUGAUUCUUCUGCCGCUGCUCCGACUCUUCAAGAGAGGAGAGCCAAGGCCUCCAGUCGGUCUGUCCUGCGGCUGCGGGUGAGGAUUAAGGACAUCUUGUUGGGACUUGGAAGGGGGCGAAGUGAGACAUGAACUACCCAACUAGCUAGGCUGGAGGUGGACUGAGAAGGGGAAGCAGAAAAAGAAAGCUUGAUCGAUCCGGUGAAGCUUUGGAAUCCUCGGCCCGCGUUUGGCUCUGUAACUGCUGGCAAUUCCUCUAGUAUAAGAGCACUGAUUGCGGCCUCGUUUCCAUCUUGUGGGACUUGGAAGGGGGCCAAGCAGCCGGAGCGGGCAAAGUGAGACAAGAACUACUUCGGAGGUGGAGUGAGAAGGGAAAGCACGGAAACGAGAGCAGCCGCCGCUAAGGAAGGUCCCUCUUCUCCCCUCGUGGAGCAGAAGAGCGGGAACUUGCAUCGGCAGGCACUCCAGCCUCCUCCCGAUGAGCCGCGGGCACCAGACGAGAACCGUCCGCUGUGGAGGACAAACUGCGACGCGCUGCUUGGAUGGAUCCAGGAUUGGCCGCUGACGAAGGAUUUGCCGCCUCACAAAGGUUGAUCUUGUGCCUGCCUAGGUUGAGAACUAUCCUCUGUGGAGGACGAGCUGCAGAGGCGGCGUGUUGCUUGGAUGGAUCUAGGAUCGGCCGCUGAGGAAGGAUUUGCCUCCUCACCACGGUUGAUCUCGUGCCUGCCUAGGGUGAGGUUCGGCCAUCUUCUUCUUCGCCCGGCACUAGCAUGUUGGAGGCGGUGAAGACCAGCAGCGCAGCCGCCAUACGACCAUGUCCUAGUGCAGGCAGCCAUCUCUGGCGAGCUCACGCCCUUGCACCACCAGAAGCACCACGUCAGCAACUGCAACAUCUAGUUUGAUGGCUGUGAGCAGCCUGCCACCAGCGACCGACCUCCAUUGGGACAUGACUGCCAGCCGGCAGCACUUGAACCAUACAUGGCACACUGUCAGGAUCUCCAUGUCAGACUACAUGGGUUGUGAUUACAUGGCCGAGAAGCUCAGCCUCAACAAUAGUGGAGCUCUACAUCCUCAUGUUUACAAUUACAAGUAGUACAGAACCACCAUGGCUGGGCUGCCGAGUAGUGUUUUUGCUGGGUGUGCCUUGGGCGACAAUGGCGUGGAGAUGAUACUUUCCAAUACGAGUUUGGUCAGCGAAACAGAUCUGCCUCUGUCACCGCUCACUCCCCCCAUAGCAUCUGGUUGGCACUUCUUCCACUCCGCCAUAGUGUUGUUUUGCAUUCUAGAUGGUUGCUCUCUUGGAAAUGAGUGGUCCAUGGACCUUCUAAAGGGAGGAAAACCACCCUGGAAGUCACAGGCUUUGGGAGGGAAGCCCUACACAUCUUGGUUCAGGUUACGUGCCAUGGAAUGGACGGAUGAUGAUGAGCGACCACCAAUGGAUCUGGUCGAAUGCACCUUGCCAGUCUAGCGAGUCCUUGGAAGUGGACGGUGGCCCUAUUGGUUGAAGGCAGGGGGAAAUCGCUCGACGUAUUUCAGCAAUCAACAGGGCACAUUUAGGCCUGGUUGCCAUUGGAUGUACUGAGAGGGGUCUGUAGAGAGAUCCCAAUCUCAUGGUCUAAGUGUCUAUGCUGAAUGUUGAGACAUUCUGAGAUACAAGAAGACCCUGCCGAUCUAAUCUUGAAGAAUACAGAUUGGCAUUAUUGUGUUUAUUUUCACUUUUCUCUCUCAUAGGCUCAGGUGUCUCGGAACUUUGUAAAAUUGAUGGGAUGGUGGUAUAUGUUGGCCUUGUCCCAGGGAUUGUAUUGUGUGGCAGGGAGGGAGUUAUUAUUGUAUUUUCGGUCAGUGUCAAGAGAUUGGAAUGAAUG